UUAAGGGUCAAAAUAAAGCAACCCCAAUACAUUAAGGACCAUUUUGAUUAUUUCCUCUUGCACAUUACUUUACUAUUUAAUAGGAAAGCUAGGCUUCGACGUGUCUGCUUAGAAGGUAUUUACUUUCAAAUCAAGAUUAUAUUCGUUAUUUUACUGCAUCAACAAACACCCACCGCUCUUCUCCUCUCUUUUUUUCUCCCAACAUACUUCAUUAGUUCAUUUCUUCCCUAGCACCGACGAGACCCCUCGCAUUCCCGGUUGUCUUCCUUGCCAUCAUUGAUGGUCCACAGAGAACCAACCUCUUCAUAACUUUCAAUUCACACACAACUUUUUAGAAGAAACCCAACAAAAUCGGCCCAAUUUCAUCCAUCAAAACCCUAACUCAAAAUUAGCCAAAUGAUCUACGAUAUAUACAAAGUUCUGUCUCUACUCCACUUAUUUCUACAAUUCUAAGGUAAAUUUCGCGUUUUGCUUGUGAAUCUAUUUUACAUUUGAUACACUUUCUUCUACUUAUGAUUUUUCACUUCGUCUUUCUAUAUCUCUAUUUGAAAAGAACAUUUAUUCUUUUUUGUCUUUCUGUUUGUUUCAAUAUUAUGCUGGAUUUAGAGGAAAAUUGUGGAAGGCUCAUUUGAUUAUUGAAUUUUUCUGUUGAAACUAUAGGUUGUGGUAAUAAUUUCUAUCUUAAAUCAGACAUUAGUAUUACACUUAGCUACUUUUUCUAUCAUUGCUCCAGUAACUUGUGGAUUAUUUGUAUGCCUAAAGAAAUUGAUUUCAAAGUAGAAACCUAUUUACAGCUUGUUUGGAUGGUUGUUACCCAAUGUAUUGUAUUGUAUUGUUAUCCUAAGACAAUGUUUGUUUUGAUUGUUUAUUUAAAAUGGAUUGUAUUGUAUUGUUAAAUCCAUUGUUCCGGAACAACCAAAAGCACCAUUUUAUGAAACAACCGAUUUGGUGUGGUGCGGUCGUUUCCUAUUUUUAUUUUCUAAUUAUGUCCUUACUUAUUACUCCAUAAUUCUAUUUUAUCAUUUAAUUUUUUUUAUUUUAACUCAAAAUCUCCAACCUAUUGACCUACUUUGUCUUCUUCCAUCUUUUCUAGAGUUGGUUUGCCCCGUUUUUUUUAUUAUCCAAGUCUCCGUUCGAUUCUGACUCUUUUCAUCGUUUUAAUUUUUUUUUUUGGUGUUGAUAAUAUUAGUUAACUUUUUUUUUUUCAGGUUUUUGCUCUUGUUUCCAAGCUACGUAAUUAAUGAUAAAUUAGUAGAAAGAGGUGUAUACGGUCAAAAUCGGGCCUACCCGAUUUUGUUGUUUGAUCGAGACAAGGGAGUUGCAUCGAGGGUAGCCUCGUAAUAAAUCAGACCCGAGCUCGAAGAUGAGACAUCAAAGUGUACGUUGAGACCGAGACCAGCAAGAAUCGAGACCAAGUAUGACCGACUUCGAGGGGAGCAUAAUAACAGAAUGGCGAGAUAUCCGUAAUCGGUCGAAGAUCACGGCGAAAAUCUCGGAACAGAUCAAAUCAAGAGCGGUUAUUGGUACCAAUCAUGGGAUUUAUUUCUGUUAUUAGAAUUGUACCAUAAUUAGGAAUCCUCUAGUAUAUAAGGGGGAGUCCCCAUCAUUUGUAAAUAUAUUACAUUCACGAAUAUCAAGGCAAUAUAAUAUCUCUUAGUUCGGUUCAUCAACUUACCGUUCUUUAAAUUAUUCUUACUUCAUUAUUCUCGAGGGUUCAUCAGCUUGAGGGCAUUGUCCAAGCAUUGGUUUGUUUUACAUUCUUGUCAAUUCGCAUCAUUUAUCUCUAAGUUAAUCAAUCAGUAUUGAGCAAAAUCGUG
This 1817-nucleotide long non-coding RNA is filed under the name Nicotiana tabacum (common tobacco). Its description in RNAcentral is "long non-coding RNA (NTAB_LNC015649)". The record is from RNAcentral. Lineage: Eukaryota; Viridiplantae; Streptophyta; Magnoliopsida; Solanales; Solanaceae.